RNAcentral lists this unclassified non-coding RNA (372 nucleotides) under uncultured Alphaproteobacteria bacterium. RNAcentral describes it as "contains 16S-23S intergenic spacer region". Lineage: Bacteria; Pseudomonadati; Pseudomonadota; Alphaproteobacteria. The record is from RNAcentral.
UCCGGUUUGUCACCGGCAGUCUCGCAUGAGUCCCCAACUGAAUGCUGGCAACAUGCGACGGGGGUUGCGCCCGUUGCGGGACUUAACCCAACAUCUCACGACACGAGCUGACGACAGCCGUGCACCACCUGUGAAGGUGCCCCGAAGGGCUGCCGUAUUUCUACGGCAUUCCAGUGCAUGUCAAGCCCUGGUAAGGUUCUGCGCGUUGUAUCGAAUUAAACCACAUGCUCCACCGCUUGUGCAGGCCCCCGUCAAUUCCUUUGAGUUUCGGUCUUGCGACCGUACUCCCCAGGCGGAGUGUUUCACGCGUUAGCUGGGCCCCUGAUCCACGUAGACCAAGGGCGAACACUCAUCGUUUACGGCAUGGACUAC